This 465-nucleotide ribosomal RNA is filed under the name uncultured bacterium. RNAcentral describes it as "partial 16S ribosomal RNA". It matches the Rfam family "Bacterial small subunit ribosomal RNA", at positions 28 to 507 of the family's 1533-position model. The record is from RNAcentral.
GACGAACGCUGGCGGCGUGCUUAACACAUGCAAGUCGAACGGAAAGGCACUGCUUGCAGGGUACUCGAGUGGCGAACGGGUGAGUAACACGUGGGUGAUCUGCCCUGCACUUCGGGAUAAGCCUGGGAAACUGGGUCUAAUACCGGAUAGGAGCCAUUUUUAGUGUGAUGGUUGGAAAGUUUUUUCGGUGUAGGAUGAGCUCGCGGCCUAUCAGCUUGUUGGUGGGGUAAUGGCCUACCAAGGCGGCGACGGGUAGCCGGCCUGAGAGGGUGGACGGCCACAUUGGGACUGAGAGACGGCCCAGACGCCUACGGGAGGCAGCAGUGGGGAAUAUUGCACAAUGGGCGCAAGCCUGAUGCAGCGACGCCGCGUGGGGGAGGACGGCCUUCGGGUUGUAAACUCCUUUCGCUAGGGACGAAGCUUUUUGUGACGGUACCUAGAUAAGAAGCACCGGCUAACUACGUG